AUGGGUUGAACAGCCACUGCUGUCACUAGACUCGCGCUAGGCGGGCGUGGUUUCACCUCAGCUUCACCCAUAUCCCGCCUCUUUACGUCAAUGUAUCGCGAGAGCGAGUCAAGAAAUUACACUCUCGCGGUACAAUGACGUUUACCUGUCAGCGCAGCAAGAAGUCGAACACACGUAUUUGCGUGCGCGCGCCUCGGUCCUUGUGAGUUCAAAGUGGAUUUUAACCGUUUACCUCAGACGACAGUUUUCAUUUCUAUGGUAAAUUCUAAGGUCAUUUUCUUGUUGUGUUGUGAUGUGUUCCAUUGGCUGAAGAUGAUAGAACAACUUUUAACUGGACAAAUUGUACUGUUGCUGCAACCUGAGCAGCCUCCUAGCUGCUACAAGCACACUCUGUUUCAUAAGUCUUUGCUUUGCCAGAUCACCUGUGGUCGGGAUGUCUGCUAACAUGAUGCCUUGUUGGUCUGGGCGAGUUUGAAGUCUCUCACAGACAGUCCAGAAGGUCUGGAGUCCAUGUUAGCUUUUAUUGAUUAACUACAUACGGUCCCUUGGGGGAGCCAACCCAGGUGAAGUCCACUGAAGUCCCAAUUGCCUACAGCAUGAAAUGGAGGAAGGAAUCAACACAGAAAAACUACAAGGCAUUAAAGGCCCUUGACGUGGAAGACUUAAUUGCAUAAGCCCUGAAAUUUGCCCCACACAGAAAUUUAAAAUGAUGGCAGAGAUUGCUGUGGAGUUCUGAAGUUCAUUGUUUAAAUGUUUUCAUUUUUAAUAUAUUAAAAUGUUUUUUAUGAUACAAUGUUCUACAUGUUUAUUGCCAAUUUUAUGUGUUAUAUAAGCAAAUUAUCUACCCUAUUAUAUUAUUAUCUAAGUCUAUAAAUUCUAUAAAUGUUCCUGUGAUUAAUGAUUUUGAUUUUAUGUCUACGAAUAAAGAAUCCAUGGAUCAACA
Long non-coding RNA from Paramisgurnus dabryanus, 943 nucleotides. RefSeq lists it as uncharacterized. The record is from RefSeq and is a predicted model, not a curated record. NCBI's taxonomy places the organism in Eukaryota, Metazoa, Chordata, Actinopteri, Cypriniformes, Cobitidae.